RNAcentral lists this ribosomal RNA (253 nucleotides) under uncultured bacterium. RNAcentral's name for it is "partial 16S ribosomal RNA". It matches the Rfam family "Bacterial small subunit ribosomal RNA", at positions 524 to 776 of the family's 1533-position model. The record is from RNAcentral.
GACGUAGGAGGCGAGCGUUGUCCGGAUUCAUUGGGCGUAAAGAGCACGCAGGCGGUUUGGCAAGUCGGAUGUGAAAACCCGGAGCUCAACUCCGGGCGUGCAUCCGAUACUGCCCGACUAGAGGUAGGUAGGGGAGAUCGGAAUUCCUGGUGUAGCGGUGAAAUGCGCAGAUAUCAGGAGGAACACCGGUGGCGAAGGCGGAUCUCUGGGCCUUACCUGACGCUGAGGAGCGAGAGCGUGGGGAGCGAACAGG